CAGUAAUUCUUCAUUAUCAAUUGAAAUAUUUCAAUGAUAAUGAGAAUGGCAACCAUUCAGUUUCCAUUUGUCCCUAUUCACUCGAUUGAUUUUGACAUACUUCUUCAGAUGAAAUACUAAAAUUCAUCUUCAAUUGAAUGGGAGCAUGUGUUCAUUUGAAACAUUUUAUCCUAUGGAAGCCGAUGUGGACAUGAAAUGAUGUUACUAAAAGUUCACUCCGAAUACAAAGGCAUAGCGAACGAAACAUAUACCAGUCAAACGAACGAAAAUGAAAUAUAAACUAUACAGUCCUAUGCAAAUUAUUUCACGCGCACUACUUGGGGUUUGUUCCUACAAUUAUUACGGCCAAAUAGUUUUGGUUACCAGAUGUUGGACGCUCGUAGGACCAAAGUGCAUCGUAUCGGACUAACGGGAGGACGAGAUGAACUAUUCUAACGCCAGCUAUCAUGAUGUCACACUGGGGUUUGUUUUCCUCCAGCUGUCAUAUGUAAAACUGUCAGUUAACUCAAACGUUUUAAAUAGCUUGCCUAACGUAUUUAUGAUGGUGCUCUGUGCCACUGUGAAACUUCUGCCGGAGACGUACACUACCGAUUGGUCGGGAUCCAACCUGCAAAUAAUCCGACCGAAAAGCUCUUUUCGAUUUGUUUUCCUCCAUCUAUCAGAACAUUGUGAUAGGUAGAGGAAAACAAAUCGUGAACACACUAAAGCAGUUACUGAUUGUCAAGUAUUCUAUACAUACCAUGGUAUUGAAUAAAUGGUAGGCAUAUUUUCGAAAGUAAAAGUAAAUCGAAAAAACGUAUUGCUUUUUAGGGGAAAUUAUCGACAAUACUCAUUGGAUUAUUUUAUAUUAUCACAUUUACCGAUUAUUGGCAAUUCUCUAUAACAAUUGCGAAUUAUUUCAUAAUCAUUAAGACAUAUAAAAGUAAUCCUGAUACACCCUAACCUUUACUAAUACAUCUUGAUGCACUGUAAAAAAAUCAUAUAAUUCAUUCAAAUAUUUCCACACAUGAUGAAGCGCAAUUAUCAACAAAAUAAUUCCAAAACACUUCUACAAAAUCCCCAAAAUUUAUGUCAAACCCUAAUGUUUUAUCACAUAAACAUAGUAACACAGUGAUUUCUAUUAGUUUCCUUUUGAAUUCAAUUCCAUUGAAAUUUCUGAGAUUUACCUUGCACUUUGCACCAGUAUUUUGUAACAGUGCGUUCGACUAGAGCAUUAAAUGUAAACAAAAGUAUAGGUCAAAAUGUAGAAUGUGUGGUGUGAAACAAAGUCCAGUGGUUUAAACUCUAUAACGACUUGUAAAUUGCUAAAAUGAGAGAAUCAAGUGCAAAAGAACUUACGCUAUGGAGAAGUGUGUCAGUUUGCAGUUCAAAAAUUUGGAUUUCUACUUGGUGUGUAUAAUGAUCCGUCCGUCCGGGAGGUGGUCCAGUAGAGGCAGUCAGGAACUCCAGAUACUUGAAAAUCACCCGCAGUUUACUGGAUUGUUCCGAUAAUGCUUUGGGAUAAAAUAGAUUGACAUGUCAGGCUGAUUUGUUGGAAUGUGCGACGUGUUCUGCAUUGAAGGGAGCUCAAGCUUGACAAACGGUUCUGAAUCACUGGUGGAAUGAUGAUAGCAAAGUCGUUGGAUUUGAGGCUUGUUACAGCAGGUCGUGGGCGACGCUUGAAUAAUGUCGCGUUGUGUAUUAUUUGUGAUCAUUGAUCAUCAUCAUUGCAGUAUUGAAGUUUCGCAAAAUUGAGUGCUGAAGCUCUUGCAAGUAAUAUUUCCAAUUUGCAGAGCCUAA
Long non-coding RNA from Topomyia yanbarensis, 1779 nucleotides. RefSeq lists it as uncharacterized. The transcript has 3 exons. The record is from RefSeq and is a predicted model, not a curated record. Lineage: Eukaryota; Metazoa; Arthropoda; Insecta; Diptera; Culicidae.